Molecule: ribosomal RNA, 433 nt
Filed under: uncultured bacterium
Lineage: Bacteria
Description: partial 16S ribosomal RNA
Rfam family: Bacterial small subunit ribosomal RNA
Source: RNAcentral
AACGAACGCUGGCGGCAUGCCUAACACAUGCAAGUCGAACGAGACCUUCGGGUCUAGUGGCGCCCGGGUGCGUAACGCGUGGGAACCUGCCCUUAGGUUCGGAAUAACUCCCCGACAGGGGUGCUAAUACCGGAUAAUGUCUUCGGACCAAAGAUUUAUCGCCUUUGGAUGGGCCCGCGUUGGAUUAGCUAGUUGGUAGGGUAAAAGCCUACCAAGGCGACGAUCCAUAGCUGGUCUGAGAGGAUGAUCAGCCACACUGGGACUGAGACACGGCCCAGACUCCUACGGGAGGCAGCAGUGGGGAAUAUUGGACAAUGGGCGAAAGCCUGAUCCAGCAAUGCCGCGUGAGUGAUGAAGGCCUUAGGGUUGUAAAGCUCUUUUACCCGGGAUGAUAAUGACAGUACCGGGAGAAUAAGCUCCGGCUAACUCCGUG